Molecule: ribosomal RNA, 509 nt
Filed under: uncultured bacterium
Lineage: Bacteria
Description: bacterial SSU rRNA
Rfam family: Bacterial small subunit ribosomal RNA
Source: RNAcentral
CCUACGGGAGGCAGCAGGGAAUAUUGCGCAAUGAGCGAAAGCUUGACGCAGCGACACCGCGUGUGGGAUGACGGAUCUAGGUUUGUAAACCACUUUCAGGAGGGAAGAAAAUGACGGUACCUCCACAAGAAGCCCCGGCCAACUACGUGCCAGCAGCCGCGGUAAUACGUAGGGGGCGAGCGUUGUCCGGAUUUAUUGGGCGUAAAGAGCUCGUAGGCGGUUCAACAAGUCGGUCGUAAAAGUUCAGGGCUCAACCCUGAAAUGUCGAUCGAUACUGUUGUGACUAGGAUACGGUAGAGGUGAGUGGAAUUCCGAGUGUAGCGGUGAAAUGCGUAGAUAUUCGGAGGAACACCAAUUGCGAAGGCAGCUCACUGGGCCGCUAUCGACGCUGAGGAGCGAAAGCUAGGGGAGCAAACAGGAUUAGAUACCCUGGUAGUCCUAGCUGUAAACGAUGGAUACUAGACGUAGGAACUGGAUUGACGGUUUCUGUGUCGUAGCUAACGCGUUAA